RNAcentral lists this ribosomal RNA (513 nucleotides) under uncultured bacterium. RNAcentral describes it as "partial 16S ribosomal RNA". It matches the Rfam family "Bacterial small subunit ribosomal RNA", at positions 28 to 523 of the family's 1533-position model. The record is from RNAcentral.
GACGAACGCUGGCGGCGUGCCUAAUACAUGCAAGUUGAGCGCUGAAGGUUGGUACUUGUACCAACUGGAUGAGCAGCGAACGGGUGAGUAACGCGUGGGGAAUCUGCCUUUGAGCGGGGGACAACAUUUGGAAACGAAUGCUAAUACCGCAUAAAAACUUUAAACACAAGUUUCAAGUUUGAAAGAUGCAAUUGCAUCACUCAAAGAUGAUCCCGCGUUGUAUUAGCUAGUUGGUGAGGUAAAGGCUCACCAAGGCGAUGAUACAUAGCCGACCUGAGAGGGUGAUCGGCAACAUUGGGACUGAGAGACGGCCCAAAAUCCGACGGGAGGCAGCAGUAGGGAAUCUUCGGCAAUGGACGAAAGUCUGACCGAGCAACGCCGCGUGAGUGAAGAAGGUUUUCGGAUCGUAAAACUCUGUUGGUAGAGAAGAACGUUGGUGAGAGUGGAAAGCUCAUCAAGUGACGGUAACUACCCAGAAAGGGACGGCUAACUACGUGCCAGCCGCCGCGGUAA